CCGGCCGCUGUGGAAGUUGCGCCGCCAUGCGCCGCCGCCGGCGGCGCAGUGGCCCGAUCGGCAUGCCAUCGUGAUCGGUGCCGGUCUGGCCGGUUGCGCC
This 100-nucleotide transfer RNA is filed under the name Cupriavidus smyrnaeus. RNAcentral describes it as "Cupriavidus sp. TA19 tRNA-Gly". Lineage: Bacteria; Pseudomonadati; Pseudomonadota; Betaproteobacteria; Burkholderiales; Burkholderiaceae. The record is from RNAcentral.